Molecule: ribosomal RNA, 254 nt
Filed under: uncultured bacterium
Lineage: Bacteria
Description: partial 16S ribosomal RNA
Rfam family: Bacterial small subunit ribosomal RNA
Source: RNAcentral
UACGUAGGGUGCGAGCGUUGUCCGGAAUUACUGGGCGUAAAGAGCUCGUAGGUGGUUUGUCGCGUUGUUCGUGAAAACUCACAGCUUAACUGUGGGCGUGCGGGCGAUACGGGCAGACUGGAGUACUGCAGGGGAGACUGGAAUUCCUGGUGUAGCGGUGGAAUGCGCAGAUAUCAGGAGGAACACCGGUGGCGAAGGCGGGUCUCUGGGCAGUAACUGACGCUGAGGAGCGAAAGCGUGGGGGAGCGAACAGG